RNAcentral lists this ribosomal RNA (465 nucleotides) under Vreelandella stevensii. Its description in RNAcentral is "partial 16S ribosomal RNA". It matches the Rfam family "Bacterial small subunit ribosomal RNA", at positions 338 to 795 of the family's 1533-position model. The record is from RNAcentral. Lineage: Bacteria; Pseudomonadati; Pseudomonadota; Gammaproteobacteria; Oceanospirillales; Halomonadaceae.
CCUACGGGAGGCUGCAGUGGGGAAUAUUGGACAAUGGGGGGAACCCUGAUCCAGCCAUGCCGCGUGUGUGAAGAAGGCCCUCGGGUUGUAAAGCACUUUCAGUGAGGAAGAACGCCUGGUGGUUAAUACCCAUCAGGAAAGACAUCACUCACAGAAGAAGCACCGGCUAACUCCGUGCCAGCAGCCGCGGUAAUACGGAGGGUGCGAGCGUUAAUCGGAAUUACUGGGCGUAAAGCGCGCGUAGGUGGCUUGAUAAGCCGGUUGUGAAAGCCCCGGGCUCAACCUGGGAACGGCAUCCGGAACUGUCAAGCUAGAGUGCAGGAGAGGAAGGUAGAAUUCCCGGUGUGGCGGUGAAAUGCGUAGAGAACGGGAGGAAUACCAGUGGCGAAGGCGGCCUUCUGGACUGACACUGACACUGAGGUGCGAAAGCGUGGGUAGCAAACAGGAUUAGAUACCCUUGUAGUC